UAGGGAAUCUUCGGCAAUGGACGAAAGUCUGACCGAGCAACGCCGCGUGAGUGAAGAAGGUUUUCGGAUCGUAAAACUCUGUUGUUAGAGAAGAACAAGGACGUUAGUAACUGAACGUCCCCUGACGGUAUCUAACCAGAAAGCCACGGCUAACUACGUGCCAGCAGCCGCGGUAAUACGUAGGUGGCAAGCGGUGUCCGGAUUUAUUGGGCGUAAAGCGAGCGCAGGCGGUUUCUUAAGUCUGAUGUGAAAGCCCCCGGCUCAACCGGGGAGGGUCAUUGGAAACUGGGAGAAUUGAGUGCAGAAGAGGAGAGUGGAAUUCCAUGUGUAGCGGUGAAAUGCGUAGAUAUAUGGAGGAACACCAGUGGCGAAGGCGGCUCUCUGGUCUGUAACUGACGCUGAGGCUCGAAAGCGUGGGGAGCAAACAGG
Molecule: ribosomal RNA, 429 nt
Filed under: Gemmatimonadota bacterium
Lineage: Bacteria; Pseudomonadati; Gemmatimonadota
Description: Gemmatimonadetes bacterium partial 16S ribosomal RNA
Rfam family: Bacterial small subunit ribosomal RNA
Source: RNAcentral